UACGUAGGGGGCGAGCGUUGUCCGGAAUCAUUGGGCGUAAAGAGCGUGUAGGCGGUCCGGUAAGUCCGUCGUGAAAAUCCGGGGCUCAACCCUGGGCUUGCGGUGGAUACUGUCGGGCUAGAGGAUGGUAGAGGGGAGUGGAAUUCCCGGUGUAGCGGUGAAAUGCGCAGAUAUCGGGAGGAACACCAGUAGCGAAGGCGGCUCCCUGGGCCAUUCCUGACGCUGAGACGCGAAAGCUAGGGGAGCGAACAGG
RNAcentral lists this ribosomal RNA (253 nucleotides) under uncultured bacterium. Its description in RNAcentral is "partial 16S ribosomal RNA". It matches the Rfam family "Bacterial small subunit ribosomal RNA", at positions 524 to 776 of the family's 1533-position model. The record is from RNAcentral.